UGAUCUUCCUGCCUUGGCCUCAAAGGUACUGGGAUUACAGUUACUCGCUGGAAGUGGUGGGAAUCAUAAAAAACAACCAGGACCUUGCAUCCUAGUAUAGAAGCCACAACUGUGGAAGCUUAACAGCCAGGCAAAUGCCCACAAACCACCACCCUCUGCAUUGGAUGCAUAUGUCCCUGACCUCGCAAGUGAAAAAGAGAGGAAGACGGCGACACCUCCAGGCUUCAGACUCAUUAAUCCUGUGAAUCGUGACCCACUCUUAAAACCAAGGAAGAGGGAAGUUUGGACACAGACACACACAGACAAGAGAAUACCAUGUGACAAAGGCAGAGAUUGGAAUGAUACAGCUGCAAGCCAGGGAUGCCAAGGAUUGCAGGUGAAGAGUCAAGGAAGGAUUCUACCCAGAGUUGCACGGCCUUAUUGACACCUUGAUUUGGGCUUCUAGACUCCAGAAUCAUGACAGAAUAAAUUUAUCUGUGUGGAUGUGUGUGUGUGUGUGUGUGUGUGUGUGUGUGUGUGUGUUUUCCUAAAAAAGAGACAA
Molecule: long non-coding RNA, 541 nt
Filed under: Homo sapiens (human)
Lineage: Eukaryota; Metazoa; Chordata; Mammalia; Primates; Hominidae
Description: HSALNT0368777
Source: RNAcentral